This is a non-coding RNA of Triticum aestivum (bread wheat), 126 nucleotides long. The record is from Rfam. Lineage: Eukaryota; Viridiplantae; Streptophyta; Magnoliopsida; Poales; Poaceae.
UUAGUACUCCAUCCGUCCGAGAAUACUUGUCAGAGAAAUGGAUGCAUCUAGACAUAUUUUAGUUCUAGAUACAUCAUUUUUUAUCCAUUUGUGCGACAAGCAAUUCCGGAUGAAGGGAGCUGUCAG